AGAGUUUGAUCCUGGCUCAGGACGAACGCUGGCGGCGUGCCUAAUACAUGCAAGUCGAGCGAGCUUGCCUAGAUGAUUUUGGUGCUUGCACUAAAUGAAACUAGAUACAAGCGAGCGGCGGACGGGUGAGUAACACGUGGGUAACCUGCCCAAGAGACUGGGAUAACACCUGGAAACAGAUGCUAAUACCGGAUAACAACACUAGACGCAUGUCUAGAGUUUGAAAGAUGGUUCUGCUAUCACUCUUGGAUGGACCUGCGGUGCAUUAGCUAGUUGGUAAGGUAACGGCUUACCAAGGCAAUGAUGCAUAGCCGAGUUGAGAGACUGAUCGGCCACAUUGGGACUGAGACACGGCCCAAACUCCUACGGGAGGCAGCAGUAGGGAAUCUUCCACAAUGGACGAAAGUCUGAUGGAGCAACGCCGCGUGAGUGAAGAAGGGUUUCGGCUCGUAAAGCUCUGUUGGUAGUGAAGAAAGAUAGAGGUAGUAACUGGCCUUUAUUUGACGGUAAUUACUUAGAAAGUCACGGCUAACUACGUGCCAGCAGCCGCGGUAAUACGUAGGUGGCAAGCGUUGUCCGGAUUUAUUGGGCGUAAAGCGAGUGCAGGCGGUUCAAUAAGUCUGAUGUGAAAGCCUUCGGCUCAACCGGAGAAUUGCAUCAGAAACUGUUGAACUUGAGUGCAGAAGAGGAGAGUGGAACUCCAUGUGUAGCGGUGGAAUGCGUAGAUAUAUGGAAGAACACCAGUGGCGAAGGCGGCUCUCUGGUCUGCAACUGACGCUGAGGCUCGAAAGCAUGGGUAGCGAACAGGAUUAGAUACCCUGGUAGUCCAUGCCGUAAACGAUGAGUGCUAAGUGUUGGGAGGUUUCCGCCUCUCAGUGCUGCAGCU
This 886-nucleotide ribosomal RNA is filed under the name uncultured bacterium. RNAcentral describes it as "bacterial SSU rRNA". It matches the Rfam family "Bacterial small subunit ribosomal RNA", at positions 8 to 853 of the family's 1533-position model. The record is from RNAcentral.